GGUACAUUUGGGAGAGUGCACAGGAGUGAUGGUGACAGUGGCAUCAGAGCCUCAAAAAGUGGAUACCCCCUCUCAAAUGAAAAAUUCCAAAGGAAACUUUUUGGAUUAAUUUUUGAUCUAAAAGAUGACAUCAAAAAGUUAACUGCCAUUGUUGACCCUGGGAAGUCGUCUUCAUCCAUUAAAAAAAUGGAGUCAGAAGUAGACCUUCAGUUGUUUGAAGAAUCCUUAAAUGAUGAGACAAUGUGGCUC
Molecule: long non-coding RNA, 249 nt
Organism: Paramisgurnus dabryanus
Lineage: Eukaryota; Metazoa; Chordata; Actinopteri; Cypriniformes; Cobitidae
Source: RefSeq, a predicted model, not a curated record